GAGUUUGAUCCUGGUUCAGGACGAACGCUGGCGGCGUGCCUAACACAUGCAAGUCGAGCGAAGAAGCCCCUUCGGGGGUGGAUUAGCGGCGGACGGGUGAGUAACACGUGGGUAACCUGCCUCAAAGAGGGGGAUAGCCUCCCGAAAGGGAGAUUAAUACCGCAUAAGACCUAGGUUCACAUGAACCCGGGAUGAAAGGAGUAAUCCGCUUUGAGAUGGACCCGCGGCGCAUUAGUUAGUUGGUGGGGUAACGGCCUACCAAGGCAGCGAUGCGUAGCCGACCUGAGAGGGUAAUCGGCCACAUUGGAACUGAGAGACGGUCCAGACUCCUACGGGAGGCAGCAGUGGGGAAUAUUGCACAAUGGGCGAAAGCCUGAUGCAGCAACGCCGCGUGAGUGAUGAAUGUCUUCGGAUUGUAAAGCUCUGUCUUCUGGGACGAUAAUGACGGUACCAGAGGAGGAAGCCACGGCUAACUACGUGCCAACAGCCGCGGUAAUACGUAGGUGGCGAGCGUUGUCCGGAUUUACUGGGCGUAAAGGGUGCGUAGGCGGAUGUUUAAGUGAGAUGUG
RNAcentral lists this ribosomal RNA (569 nucleotides) under uncultured Clostridium sp. RNAcentral's name for it is "bacterial SSU rRNA". It matches the Rfam family "Bacterial small subunit ribosomal RNA", at positions 9 to 596 of the family's 1533-position model. The record is from RNAcentral. Lineage: Bacteria; Bacillati; Bacillota; Clostridia; Eubacteriales; Clostridiaceae.